RNAcentral lists this ribosomal RNA (429 nucleotides) under bacterium. RNAcentral describes it as "partial 16S ribosomal RNA". It matches the Rfam family "Bacterial small subunit ribosomal RNA", at positions 355 to 776 of the family's 1533-position model. The record is from RNAcentral.
UAGGGAAUCUUCCACAAUGGACGCAAGUCUGAUGGAGCAACGCCGCGUGAGUGAAGAAGGUUUUCGGAUCGUAAAGCUCUGUUGUUGGUGAAGAAGGAUAGAGGUAGUAACUGGCCUUUAUUUGACGGUAAUCAACCAGAAAGUCACGGCUAACUACGUGCCAGCAGCCGCGGUAAUACGUAGGUGGCAAGCGUUGUCCGGAUUUAUUGGGCGUAAAGCGAGCGCAGGCGGAAGAAUAAGUCUGAUGUGAAAGCCCUCGGCUUAACCGAGGAACUGCAUCGGAAACUGUUUUUCUUGAGUGCAGAAGAGGAGAGUGGAAUUCCAUGUGUAGCGGUGGAAUGCGUAGAUAUAUGGAAGAACGCCAGUGGCGAAGGCGACUCUCUGGUCUGCAACUGACGCUGAGGCUCGAAAGCAUGGGUAGCGAACAGG